RNAcentral lists this ribosomal RNA (253 nucleotides) under uncultured bacterium. RNAcentral describes it as "partial 16S ribosomal RNA". It matches the Rfam family "Bacterial small subunit ribosomal RNA", at positions 524 to 776 of the family's 1533-position model. The record is from RNAcentral.
UACAGAGGGUGCGAGCGUUAAUCGGAAUUACUGGGCGUAAAGCGCACGUAGGUGGCGACGUAAGUCGGGUGUGAAAGCCCCGGGCUCAACCUGGGAAUUGCAUUCGAGACUGCAUUGCUGGAGUACGGAAGAGGAGGGCGGAAUUCCCGGUGUAGCGGUGAAAUGCGUAGAUAUCUGGAGGAAUACCGGUGGCGAAGGCGGCAUCCUGGACCGGCAUUGACGCUGAGGAGCGAAAGCCAGGGGAGCAAACGGG